Molecule: long non-coding RNA, 305 nt
Filed under: Ananas comosus (pineapple)
Lineage: Eukaryota; Viridiplantae; Streptophyta; Magnoliopsida; Poales; Bromeliaceae
Description: long non-coding RNA (ACOM_LNC004104)
Source: RNAcentral
UUUUUUGCAGGUGUGUGUUCAUAAUAUAAUAAAAUAUAUUUUAAACGAUGAUUUAUUCUAACGUCUUUAAUAUUUUACAUGUGUUGACACCAUGAAUAAGCGUCGUCAAUAAACAUAUUUUUAUCAAAUACGGAUUAAAGUUUUUUACGCUAUAUUAAAGCGUCGAUAUAUUUAUCCCGAUAUAUUUACUUAAUGACUUUUUGUUCGAUACUUUUAUAAUUGUCAGAAUUAUUUUUUAAAGCGUUGCUAGUUAUUAUUUAAAAUGUGACAUUAUUUAUAGCAUUUUCAUCCUACAUUGAUUUCUU